This 25-nucleotide non-coding RNA is filed under the name Drosophila melanogaster (fruit fly). The record is from RNAcentral. Lineage: Eukaryota; Metazoa; Arthropoda; Insecta; Diptera; Drosophilidae.
UGAUACUAUAAAUUUCGGCCUGCUA